Molecule: ribosomal RNA, 484 nt
Filed under: uncultured bacterium
Lineage: Bacteria
Description: partial 16S ribosomal RNA
Rfam family: Bacterial small subunit ribosomal RNA
Source: RNAcentral
AUUGAACGCUGGCGGCAGGCCUAACACAUGCAAGUCGAGCGGAUGAAGGGAGCUUGCUCCUGGAUUCAGCGGCGGACGGGUGAGUAAUGCCUAGGAAUCUGCCUGGUAGUGGGGGAUAACGUCCGGAAACGGGUGCUAAUACCGCAUACGUCCUGAGGGAGAAAGUGGGGGAUCUUCGGACCUCACGCUAUCAGAUGAGCCUAGGUCGGAUUAGCUAGUUGGUGGGGUAAAGGCCUACCAAGGCGACAAUCCGUAACUGGUCUGAGAGGAUGAUCAGUCACACUGGAACUGAGACACGGUCCAGACUCCUACGGGAGGCAGCAGUGGGGAAUAUUGGACAAUGGGCGAAAGCCUGAUCCAGCCAUGCCGCGUGUGUGAAGAAGGUCUUCGGAUUGUAAAGCACUUUAAGUUGGGAGGAAGGGCAGUAAGUUAAUACCUUGCUGUUUUGACGUUACCAACAGAAUAAGCACCGGCUAACUUCGUG